This 1615-nucleotide long non-coding RNA is filed under the name Heterocephalus glaber (naked mole-rat). RNAcentral describes it as "lncRNA (ENSHGLG00100048561.1)". The record is from RNAcentral. Lineage: Eukaryota; Metazoa; Chordata; Mammalia; Rodentia; Bathyergidae.
CACAUUCAUCCAUAACCCCCAGGAGCGGGGGCAGGGCUGGGGGCCAGGGGCUCCCCUAACUGCAGAGGCUAGCCUUACACACCCAGCAACACAUGUCUCCCUUUAUGGCCUGGGCUUUCUCUCGCUGCUUAAAGGCAACUGUGAAAAGAGCAGGGCUGAUUCUGGCUGCCUGGCUGUCUCCUGGCAACAGGCCUGGCAGGAGGUCUUUCUUUCUCCCCCCAGCCUCCCUUCGCUCCUCCACCACCCCCCUUUUCCCUUCUCUGCCCUGUGUCUAGUGUUGUGUAUCAUUAAAACUUCCCUCCCAGCCACUUUGCAGCCAACAACCAGGCCCUUCUGGGGCCAGUUCCCUUAGGGCAGCUCAGCUGGCCCCAGGGGUGUGGGAGCCACGGGGUCAAGCCCCCAGAGAGGAGGCUUUGUGCUCUGGAACCAAGGCUUAAACUCGAGUUGGCAACCUUCAGCAUGUUCAGGAGGGCAGCCCCUUGAGCCCUGCCCGCAUCUCUUUCUCCUCCCUUCCAGGACGUCAGUCGCCUCACUGAGUGCCAGAGCCUUCCAAGAGAGCCACUGGGCACUGCCCAGCUGUACCAGUGCCUCCUGGGCCUCAACCCAGUACCCCUCACUUAGAAGGACAAGCUGAAGACUGGGGCAGCCCUAGUCAGAGGCCUGCAGCCAGCUCUGGCUGUGUCUUGGUCUGCUCUGAAAAGGGACAGGGACACAAAGGGUGGGGCCACAGGGAUCACAGGGAGGCAGAACAUCCAAUCGCUGUGUGUGGGAACCAGAAGGACUCUUCAUUUGGCCAAUUUAAUCUAGGGGAACAUUGAGACCCAGAGAGGGGCCUUUGAACUUGCCAUCUUCCUGCCUCAGCCUCCCAAAUGUUGGGAUUACAGGCAUGCACCACCAUACUUGGCAGAGUUUGUACCCUUCACUGGAGGGAAACAAGAAGCCUCUGGCAGCCCUAGAGCACAAGGGUGACCCAGAGACUGGCUCAGCCUCUCUGGACAACUGGGAGACAGUUAAGCUUCCUUUCCUACCAUGAGCAUCAUCGUGGUCACAGAGGCUCAGGAACUGAGGUGCUGUCAUCCAACACACUUGUAAUGAGUGUUCCCAAAUCGCCUACCUGAUACUUCAAGAUACAGGACAGGAAUGGUAGGGGCAGAGAAUCUCAGUUCAUGACCAGGGUGAUUCCAGAUGCAACCCUGGGAACUCCCAUUUCUGCCAGCUCCAGGGCCCCUGGCCAACCAAGAAGAUGCCCUGGUGGCACAGGCUGGCACAUGUAGGAAACUCAGCCCUGUUGUCCCACCAUCCAGGGUCUUCAGAUCCCAGGAAGGGAUCUUAGUAAGGGCUGGAGAGGCGUUGAAGUCCAAACAGGUUUUCUCCUUGACAAUACUCAGAAAGAGAGAAGAGGAAAAGAAUAGGGAAUGUGAAUAAUGAGCCUUCUCACUGUGUGUGUGGAUUCAGUCACCGAACACUGUGCUUUGCCUUGUGAGGCACCCGUGGUCUUCUCCAGCUACUGGAAAACAUCAUUAGCCAGAGAAUUGUUCGUUAAAUUAUAUCAUUUGGCAAAACUAUAUUUCAGACUUUCUGAAAUUGAAAGAAAAAAUAAAGUAAAAGAAAAAUA